RNAcentral lists this small nucleolar RNA (101 nucleotides) under Chlorocebus sabaeus (green monkey). RNAcentral describes it as "Small nucleolar RNA U109". It matches the Rfam family "Small nucleolar RNA U109". The record is from Rfam by way of RNAcentral. Lineage: Eukaryota; Metazoa; Chordata; Mammalia; Primates; Cercopithecidae.
CUUCAUCUCAAAAAAAAAAAAAAAAAACAACAAAAAAAGGAUCCUUAGGGCUGCCAACUUUAUAGUAGAAGUUGAGGUGGUAGUGGAUUUCUCCUACACAA